Molecule: non-coding RNA, 291 nt
Organism: Tinamus guttatus (white-throated tinamou)
Lineage: Eukaryota; Metazoa; Chordata; Aves; Tinamiformes; Tinamidae
Source: the annotation of a RefSeq genome assembly
GAUGGGCCCUGAAACAGUCCCCUGACAUAGUCAGCAGAGUGGGGCACUCUGUCAAACUGAGCUGUUCCCAAAUGGAGACAUCACAUAACCAAAUGUACUGGUACAAACAGCCUGUGGAGAUGCAUUCCAAGCUUGAAUUGGUAGUUUUUGCAAUCAAAGGUGUAAAUGUACAGAUUGAGAAGGAUUUCAGUGAUGGCCGCUUCAAGAAUAGUGGGAUACAAACCGAAGGUCUCUCUCUAUCAAUAGAACGUGCUUCCCUCAAUGACUCUGGCAUAUAUUACUGUGCUGAAA